RNAcentral lists this ribosomal RNA (578 nucleotides) under uncultured bacterium. Its description in RNAcentral is "bacterial SSU rRNA". It matches the Rfam family "Bacterial small subunit ribosomal RNA", at positions 338 to 916 of the family's 1533-position model. The record is from RNAcentral.
CCUACGGGAGGCAGCAGUGAGGAAUAUUGGUCAAUGGGCGCAAGCCUGAACCAGCCAUGCCGCGUGCAGGAAGAAUGCCCUACGGGUUGUAAACUGCUUUUAUUUGGGAAUAAACCUUUCUACGUGUAGAAAGCUGAAGGUACCAAUUGAAUAAGCACCGGCUAACUCCGUGCCAGCAGCCGCGGUAAUACGGAGGGUGCAAGCGUUAUCCGGAAUCAUUGGGUUUAAAGGGUCCGCAGGCGGACCUAUAAGUCAGUGGUGAAAGCCUACAGCUUAACUGUAGAACUGCCAUUGAAACUGUAGGUCUUGAAUUCGGUCGAAGUGGGCGGAAUGUGUAGUGUAGCGGUGAAAUGCAUAGAUAUUACACAGAACACCGAUAGCGAAGGCAGCUCACUAGGCCUGGAUUGACGCUCAGGGACGAAAGCGUGGGGAUCAAACAGGAUUAGAUACCCUGGUAGUCCACGCCGUAAACUAUGAUUACUCGUUUUCGGCGAUAUACAGUCGGAGACUAAGCGAAAGUGAUAAGUAAUCCACCUGGGGAGUACGAUCGCAAGGUUGAAACUUAAAGGAAUUGACGG